Molecule: transfer RNA, 75 nt
Filed under: Planctomycetaceae bacterium
Lineage: Bacteria; Pseudomonadati; Planctomycetota; Planctomycetia; Planctomycetales; Planctomycetaceae
Description: tRNA-Gln
Rfam family: tRNA
About the family: Transfer RNA (tRNA) molecules are approximately 80 nucleotides in length. Their secondary structure includes four short double-helical elements and three loops (D, anti-codon, and T loops). Further hydrogen bonds mediate the characteristic L-shaped molecular structure. tRNAs have two regions of fundamental functional importance: the anti-codon, which is responsible for specific mRNA codon recognition, and the 3' end, to which the tRNAs corresponding amino acid is attached (by aminoacyl-tRNA synthetases). tRNAs cope with the degeneracy of the genetic code in two manners: having more than one tRNA (with a specific anti-codon) for a particular amino acid; and 'wobble' base-pairing, i.e. permitting non-standard base-pairing at the 3rd anti-codon position.
Source: RNAcentral
UGCGGGAUAGUCACUGUUGGCAGUGGCACCUGGCUCUGAACCAGGAGGUCGUUGGUUCGAUUCCAACUCCCGCAG